UACAGAGGUGGCGAGCGUUGUUCGGAUUUACUGGGCGUAAAGGGUGCGUAGGUGGUCUCGUGUGUCGGACGUGAAAUCCCACUGCUCAACGGUGGAACUGCGUUGGAAACUGCGAGACUUGAGUGCAGGAGGGGAGAGCGGAAUACUUGGUGUAGCGGUGAAAUGCGUUGAUAUCAAGUAGAACACCGGUGGCGUAGGCGGCUCUCUGGAAUGCAACUGACACUGAGGCACGAAAGCUAGGGGAG
Molecule: ribosomal RNA, 245 nt
Filed under: uncultured bacterium
Lineage: Bacteria
Description: partial 16S ribosomal RNA
Rfam family: Bacterial small subunit ribosomal RNA
Source: RNAcentral